AGGCGGUCUUUCAAGUCAGGAGUGAAAGGCUACGGCUCAACCGUAGUAAGCUCUUGAAACUGGGAGACUUGAGUGCAGGAGAGGAGAGUGGAAUUCCUAGGGUAGCGGUGAAAUGCGUAGAUAUUAGGAGGAACACCAGUUGCGAAGGCGGCUCUCUGGACUGUAACUGACGCUGAGGCACGAAAGCGUGGGGAGCAAACAGGAUUAGAUACCCUGGUAGUCCACGCUGUAAACGAUGAGUACUAGG
Molecule: ribosomal RNA, 247 nt
Filed under: Clostridioides difficile
Lineage: Bacteria; Bacillati; Bacillota; Clostridia; Peptostreptococcales; Peptostreptococcaceae
Description: partial 16S ribosomal RNA
Rfam family: Bacterial small subunit ribosomal RNA
Source: RNAcentral